UAGUCCACGCCGUAAACGAUGAGUACUAGCUAUUAGAGGUUUAACCCCUUUAGUGGCGCAGCUAACGCAUUAAGUACUCCGCCUGGGAAGUACGGUCGCAAGACUAAAACUCAAAGGAAUUGACGGGGGCCCGCACAAGCGGUGGAUUAUGUGGUUUAAUUCGAAGCAACGCGCAGAACCUUACCAAGGCUUGAAAUCCUAGGAAUCCCGAGUAAUGUUGGGAGUGCCCGCAAGGGAAUCUAGUGACAGGUGCUGCAUGGCUGUCGUCAGCUCGUGUUGUGAAAUGUUGGGUUAAGUCUCGCAACGAGCGCAACCCCUAUCUUUAGUUGCCAGCAUUAAGUUGGGCACUCUAGAGAGACUGCCCGGGUUAACCGGGAGGAAGGUGGGGAUGACGUCAAGUCCUCAUGGCCCUUAUGCCUUGGGCUACACACGUAAUACAAUGGUGCAUACAAAGAGAAGCGAGCGCGCGAGUGUUAGCAAAUCUCAAAAAGUGCAUCUCAGUCCGGA
This 507-nucleotide ribosomal RNA is filed under the name uncultured bacterium. Its description in RNAcentral is "bacterial SSU rRNA". It matches the Rfam family "Bacterial small subunit ribosomal RNA", at positions 791 to 1297 of the family's 1533-position model. The record is from RNAcentral.